AAUAGAUACCCAGGUAGUCCACGCCGUAAACGAUGAGUGCUAAGUGUUAGAGGGUUUCCGCCCUCUAGUGCUGCAGCAAACGCAUUAAGCACUCCGCCUGGGGAGUACGGCCGCAAGGCUGAAACUCAAAGGAAUUGACGGGGGCCCGCACAAGCGGUGGAGCAUGUGGUUUAAUUCGAAGCAACGCGAAGAACCUUACCAGGUCUUGACAUCCUUUGACCACCCUGGAGACAGGGCUUUCCCCUUCGGGGGACAAAGUGACAGGUGGUGCAUGGUUGUCGUCAGCUCGUGUCGUGAGAUGUUGGGUUAAGUCCCGCAACGAGCGCAACCCUUGAUCUUAGUUGCCAGCAUUGAGUUGGGCACUCUAAGGUGACUGCCGGUGACAAACCGGAGGAAGGUGGGGAUGACGUCAAAUCAUCAUGCCCCUUAUGACCUGGGCUACACACGUGCUACAAUGGAUAGAACAAAGGGCAGCGAAGCCGCGAGGUGAAGCCAAUCCCAUAAAUCUAUUCUCAGUUCGGAUUGCG
Molecule: ribosomal RNA, 527 nt
Filed under: uncultured bacterium
Lineage: Bacteria
Description: bacterial SSU rRNA
Rfam family: Bacterial small subunit ribosomal RNA
Source: RNAcentral